RNAcentral lists this ribosomal RNA (253 nucleotides) under uncultured bacterium. RNAcentral describes it as "partial 16S ribosomal RNA". It matches the Rfam family "Bacterial small subunit ribosomal RNA", at positions 524 to 776 of the family's 1533-position model. The record is from RNAcentral.
UACGUAGGGUGCGAGCGUUAAUCGGAAUUACUGGGCGUAAAGCGUGCGCAGGCGGUGAUGUAAGACAGUUGUGAAAUCCCCGGGCUUAACCUGGGAACUGCGCUUGUUACUGGCAGGCUUGAGUGUGGCAGAGGGGGGUGGAAUUCCACGUGUAGCAGUGAAAUGCGUAGAGAUGUGGAGGAACACCGAUGGCGAAGGCAGCCCCCUGGGCUAACACUGACGCUCAUGCACGAAAGCGUGGGGAGCAAACAGG